Molecule: long non-coding RNA, 503 nt
Organism: Paramacrobiotus metropolitanus
Lineage: Eukaryota; Metazoa; Tardigrada; Eutardigrada; Parachela; Macrobiotidae
Exons: 3
Source: RefSeq, a predicted model, not a curated record
UUCAUCCCACGCUCGAAACGUGUGGUAAGAACAAAGCACUACCACAGGCAAAAAAAUGUAUCUACUGUUAAAGAACGUCACGGAAAAGGUCACCCGCUCUGCAAAAGCUGAUUGUCGCCAUGAUGAUCCAAAGUACGGGCAUGCGCAUGCUAUUCGUGGCAGAAUUCGCGUCAUUUAUCAUCAACUGUGGGCACAUUUCUUGGUGUUUACUUCGCGAUUUAUUCUGGAAUUCGUCUAUGUGGGAUAUACAAAUUCAGGGACAAACGAACAACCACAAAAUCUGUCAGUCGUCGAUGCAAACGCAACGCUUACGAAAAACGAAACCAGUGCGAAUACGGACGGACAUCGGGGGUCUACGGGCUGGGCUCUUUGGACAGUUUAUUGGCUUAUGUUUCUGAUUGCAUGGGCAAUGUCUCUAUGGUGCAUGCUGAUAUUUAGAAAGCUUCGACGAUGGCGUCCGGAUACAGAGCGGGCACAGCUACCUGCAGUCAUUGAAUACCUGC